GGGCUGCAGUUCAGUGGUAGAGCACCCGCCUUGCACGUGUGAGGCACUGGGUUCAAUCCUCAGCAGCACA
Molecule: transfer RNA, 70 nt
Filed under: Marmota monax (woodchuck)
Lineage: Eukaryota; Metazoa; Chordata; Mammalia; Rodentia; Sciuridae
Description: tRNA.Ala
Rfam family: tRNA
About the family: Transfer RNA (tRNA) molecules are approximately 80 nucleotides in length. Their secondary structure includes four short double-helical elements and three loops (D, anti-codon, and T loops). Further hydrogen bonds mediate the characteristic L-shaped molecular structure. tRNAs have two regions of fundamental functional importance: the anti-codon, which is responsible for specific mRNA codon recognition, and the 3' end, to which the tRNAs corresponding amino acid is attached (by aminoacyl-tRNA synthetases). tRNAs cope with the degeneracy of the genetic code in two manners: having more than one tRNA (with a specific anti-codon) for a particular amino acid; and 'wobble' base-pairing, i.e. permitting non-standard base-pairing at the 3rd anti-codon position.
Source: RNAcentral